UUGAUCAUGGCUCAGAUUGAACGCUGGCGGCAGGCUUAACACAUGCAAGUCGAGCGGAGAGAGGUAGCUUGCUACUGAUCUUAGCGGCGGACGGGUGAGUAAUACUUAGGAAUCUGGCUAUUAGUGGGGGACAACAUUUCGAAAGGGAUGCUAAUACCGCAUACGUCCUACGGGAGAAAGCAGGGGAUCUUCGGACCUUGCGCUAAUAGAUGAGCCUAAGUCGGAUUAGCUAGUUGGUGGGGUAAAGGCCUACCAAGGCGACGAUCUGUAGCGGGUCUGAGAGGAUGAUCCGCCACACUGGGACUGAGACACGGCCCAGACUCCUACGGGAGGCAGCAGUGGGGAAUAUUGGACAAUGGGGGGAACCCUGAUCCAGCCAUGCCGCGUGUGUGAAGAAGGCCUUAUGGUUGUAAAGCACUUUAAGCGAGGAGGAGGGUACUGGUAUUAAUACUACCAGGUACUGGACGUUACUCGCAGAAUAAGCACCGGCUAACUCUGUGCCAGCAGCCGCGGUAAUACAGAGGGUGCGAGCGUUAAUCGGAUUUACUGGGCGUAAAGCGUGCGUAGGCGGCUAAUUGAGUCGGAUGUGA
Molecule: ribosomal RNA, 590 nt
Filed under: uncultured bacterium
Lineage: Bacteria
Description: bacterial SSU rRNA
Rfam family: Bacterial small subunit ribosomal RNA
Source: RNAcentral